Molecule: long non-coding RNA, 1916 nt
Filed under: Anas platyrhynchos platyrhynchos (common mallard)
Lineage: Eukaryota; Metazoa; Chordata; Aves; Anseriformes; Anatidae
Description: lncRNA (ENSAPLG00000022167.1)
Source: RNAcentral
AAGGAAGCAUAAGGCUGAAGGUGAAUGUUCACUUGUGUAUUAAUGCAGCCCUUACAGCUCUGGGCCAAAGACAUGUCAAAUUAGGCAAUCACUUUAUUAUCUAAAACUGAGAAUUUGUGCCUGCAGAAACUCAGGUUAAGUUGCCCUGACCUGAGCAAGUCCAACAUGCAAAAUAUCAGCUCUGUGCAAUGUCAGAGGAGGAGAAGAGGGCUCAGCCCCACCUGGAUGGGAUGUUGCAGCUCCAGCCCAACAGGCUGUUCAGGCCAGUCAUGGGGCUAAUUUUGUAUAAAAGGAAACACAAAAAUGAAGUCCUAAAAUGCCAAAAGUAGAGGUAAUGCAGUGACUCAGCCAACAGGUCCAGUUCCCUGCCUUGCUCUGGUCCACCACAAAACGUGCUCCAGGUCUGCUGAGCUCUCAGCAGAGAACCAACCCAACGAAUGUCAGAGCUCCUCGAGUGGUGACAGACCUGCACGUGCUUUGCUCGUUUGGGCCAGAGACAGUUCAGUCAUCACCUUGCAAUGCUGACCUCUCAGGUACAGUAAGACUUUGAUUCUCAUCUUGUCUUUGGCCUUCCAUCCCUUUUUAAAGAAAACUGUUACCUCCUUCAUAUAAGAAUGCUGUCAGUACAUUGGGAUAUCACUUAUCCCAAACUUUGUUAAUGAAAAGAAAAAAAAAAAAAAGAAAAAAAAAGGGAAAAAAAAAAAAAGAAGAAGAAGAAGAAAAAAAGCAACACACAAAACUAUACAAAAUCUGAUUUCAGUACAGAAUACAAAUGCAAAUAACACCUGCAGUGAACAAAGAACCGGUUUUCAUCUGUGGUAACAUGAAAUCUCUCCUGAAGCCUUGGCCCACACUCUAUUAUUGCUACGGUGCUUUUCCAGAGGAGAUAUGCAGACACUGCUCAAGAAAUCACUGAAUCAUGGGUUAGAGGGACCUCAAAGCCCACCCAGUUCCAACCGCCUGCCAUGGGCAGGGAUACCUCCCACCACACCAGGUUGCCCAAAGCCCCAUCCAGCCUGGCCUUGAACACCUCCACUGAUGGGACAGCCACAGCUUCUCUGGGCAGCCUGUGUCAGUGCCUCACCACUCUCUGAGUGAAGAAUUUCCUCCUAACAUCUAAUCUAAAUCAACCCUCUUUUAAUUUAAAAUUAUUCAAAGGCAAAGUGUUGUUUUGAGCAAGCUAUGGACCAUCACGAUGAGGCAGGAAAGAUGUUAAGAGAGAACAGAAAUGCAUAUGACCAGGUGGAAGGGAUCGUGGGAGGGUUUUCUACUGCUUUGAAGUAGUUCGAAAAUUAUGUUCCUACAGGUAAGAAAACCUUUCCUAAGAUUUUAUGCCGAUUCCUCUUGUGUCCCUCAAGGGUUAAGCCACUAGCUCAGCUCCUGCAGAUGGGGCUGAGUUCCAGGGAGUUUGUGUAAGCCUCUGGGGGCUUGAGAAAUCAGAGGCAAACAGUUUCAAAACCAAGGCGGGCUGGGCUGCAUCGAAAGGAAGGGAUGAGGGAAGAGGUUGGAGCUUUGGUUGGCAGUUUUUAGGUCCCAAAACUAGACGUGGCCUAGGCUUUCUCCAGAUGCAGCUGGUUCAACAGCACUGAGGACCCGGCACCUGGGCCUGUUUCCAGCAGCCUGCUGUCCCUGUGGCCAGGGAUGGGGGCCAGUUCCUAGCACAAGACAUUGAGAAAAUCAGGCAGCUUUGUGUACAGACAGCUAAAAGCAAAUGUGUAGGUUCUGCAGCAUUAAUGUAAAUUUAUUACUGUAGCCAAAUGGUGCAAAAAGUGGUCUUUCAGGCAGACAGAUGGUGUUAAACUUGGCCCAGAGUCCGGGACAGAGAUUUUUCUUGUUUAAAUCAAAGGUUUUGCUGGCAUAACUAUGUUGUUUGAGACUAUGAAGAAUUCAUACCACUAAUCAGCGUAACUAUAUAU